This is a long non-coding RNA of Juglans microcarpa x Juglans regia, 268 nucleotides long. RefSeq lists it as uncharacterized. The record is from RefSeq and is a predicted model, not a curated record. The transcript is spliced from 3 exons. Lineage: Eukaryota; Viridiplantae; Streptophyta; Magnoliopsida; Fagales; Juglandaceae.
UAUAUGUGGAUUUCGACUUGAGUUUCCUCAAUCUAUGUCUCUCUUAAACUUUUCAUCCCUUUGUAAUUGGAGUGUUUGGUCUGUGAAUUUUUGAGUGAACCCGAGUGGUUGUGUGGCUUUGCUGAGUGCUUUUGAUUAUGAGAUUUGUGAGUUUUGGGUGUUAAAUCCGAGAGCUUGAGAUUUUGUUGUGCUUGGUUUUGUUCUAAUUGAGGAAAAAUCGAUCGGUUGGUGUUUGUUGUUGCCGUGUGAUAAAACCCAAUUUUUGGGC